RNAcentral lists this ribosomal RNA (348 nucleotides) under uncultured Pseudomonas sp. RNAcentral's name for it is "bacterial SSU rRNA". It matches the Rfam family "Bacterial small subunit ribosomal RNA", at positions 1036 to 1382 of the family's 1533-position model. Lineage: Bacteria; Pseudomonadati; Pseudomonadota; Gammaproteobacteria; Pseudomonadales; Pseudomonadaceae. The record is from RNAcentral.
AGGUGCUGCAUGGCUGUCGUCAGCUCGUGUCGUGAGAUGUUGGGUUAACGUCCCGUAACGAGCGCAACCCUUGUCCUUAGUUACCAGCACGUUAUGGUGGGCACUCUAAGGAGACUGCCGGUGACAAACCGGAGGAAGGUGGGGAUGGCGUCAAGUCAUCAUGGCCCUUACGGCCUGGGCUACACACGUGCUACAAUGGUCGGUACAAAGGGUUGCCAAGCCGCGAGGUGGAGCUAAUCCCAUAAAACCGAUCGUAGUCCGGAUCGCAGUCUGCAACUCGACUGCGUGAAGUCGGAAUCGCUAGUAAUCGUGAAUCAGAAUGUCACGGUGAAUACGUUCCCGGGCCUU